GGGUACGAUCAUACCAGAACUAAUGCACCGGAUCCCAUCUGAACUCCGCAGUUAAGCUUGCUUGGGCGAGAGUAGUACUAGGAUGGGUGACCUCCUAGCAAGUCUUGGUGUUGCACCCU
This 119-nucleotide ribosomal RNA is filed under the name Beta vulgaris subsp. vulgaris (sugar beet). The record is from RNAcentral. Lineage: Eukaryota; Viridiplantae; Streptophyta; Magnoliopsida; Caryophyllales; Amaranthaceae.